GGGAACCCGUUCCGAAACGAGGGAUUGUUGCUGAAGAACAACCUCGAAUUGACCGAAAGGGAAUCGGGUUAAUAUUCCCGAACCCGGAUGCGGAGAUCGACCCCUCGUGGGUCCAAUGCGGCAACGCAAACGAACUCGGAGACGUCGGCGGGAGUCCCGGAAAGAGUUGUCUUUUCUUUGUAAGGAACGGACUCCCUGGAAUCGGCUCGCCCGGAGAGAGGGACGUUGUUUCCGUAAAGCACCGCGGCUCUUGCGGUGUCCGGAGCACUCCCGCCGGCCCUUGAAAAUCCGAGGGAGAGACAAAUCUUGAUUUUCGCACCGGACCGUACCCAUAUCCGCAGCAGGUCUCCAAGGUGAACAGCCUCUAGUCGAUAGAACA
This 379-nucleotide ribosomal RNA is filed under the name Paralamyctes mesibovi. RNAcentral describes it as "eukaryotic LSU rRNA". It matches the Rfam family "Eukaryotic large subunit ribosomal RNA", at positions 1556 to 1897 of the family's 3401-position model. Lineage: Eukaryota; Metazoa; Arthropoda; Chilopoda; Lithobiomorpha; Henicopidae. The record is from RNAcentral.